This is a small nucleolar RNA of Otolemur garnettii (small-eared galago), 85 nucleotides long. The record is from Ensembl. Lineage: Eukaryota; Metazoa; Chordata; Mammalia; Primates; Galagidae.
UUUUAUAAUUCAUUAAGGAGUACUUGGCUGCUUUGAUGGAAGUACCUUUGAACCCUUUUCCAUCUGAAAACUGAUGACCAAAAAA